UCUCCGUUGGUGAACCAGCGGAGGGAUCAUUACUGGAAUCGCAAGAUCCCACAACCCCUGUGAACCUACCGAAACGUUGCCUCGGCGGGCCCCCGGCCCUGCGCCGGGCGGUGAGCCCGCCGGCGGCCCCCUACUCCUGUCUCUGCAGCGUGGCAUCUCAGAAUCCCAGAAAACAAGUAAAAACUUUCAACAACGGAUCUCUUGGCUCUA
RNAcentral lists this unclassified non-coding RNA (210 nucleotides) under plant metagenome. RNAcentral's name for it is "partial contains small subunit ribosomal RNA, internal transcribed spacer 1, and 5.8S ribosomal RNA". The record is from RNAcentral.